This 468-nucleotide ribosomal RNA is filed under the name uncultured bacterium. RNAcentral's name for it is "partial 16S ribosomal RNA". It matches the Rfam family "Bacterial small subunit ribosomal RNA", at positions 28 to 507 of the family's 1533-position model. The record is from RNAcentral.
GACGAACGCUGGCGGCGUGCUUAACACAUGCAAGUCGAACGGAAAGGCCCUGCUUUUGUGGGGUGCUCGAGUGGCGAACGGGUGAGUAACACGUGAGUAACCUGCCCUUGACUUUGGGAUAACUUCAGGAAACUGGGGCUAAUACCGGAUAGGAGCUCCUGCUGCAUGGUGGGGGUUGGAAAGUUUCGGCGGUUGGGGAUGGACUCGCGGCUUAUCAGCUUGUUGGUGGGGGAGUGGCUUACCCAGGCUUUGACGGGUCGCCGGCCUGGGAGGGUGACCGGCCACCUGGGGACUGAGAUACGGCCCAGACUCCAACGGGAGGCAACAGGGGGGAAUAUUGCACAAUGGGCCGAAGCCUGAUGCAGCAACGCCGCGUGCGGGAUGACGGCCUUCGGGUUGUAAACCGCUUUCGCCUGUGACGAAGCGGGAGUGACGGUAAUGGGUAAAGAAGCACCGGCUAACUACGUG